UACAGAGGGGGCAAGCGUUGUCCGGAUUUAUUGGGCGUAAAGAGCGUGUAGGCGGCCAGGCAGGUCCGCUGUGAAAACUCGAGGCUCAACCUCGAGAGGUCGGUGGAAACCGUCUGGCUAGAGUCCGGAAGAGGAGAGUGGAAUUCCCGGUGUAGCGGUGAAAUGCGCAGAUAUCGGGAAGAACACCCGUGGCGAAAGCGGCUCACUGGACCACAACUGACGCUGAGGCGCGAAAGCGUGGGGAGCAAACAGG
RNAcentral lists this ribosomal RNA (253 nucleotides) under uncultured bacterium. RNAcentral describes it as "partial 16S ribosomal RNA". It matches the Rfam family "Bacterial small subunit ribosomal RNA", at positions 524 to 776 of the family's 1533-position model. The record is from RNAcentral.